RNAcentral lists this ribosomal RNA (253 nucleotides) under uncultured bacterium. Its description in RNAcentral is "partial 16S ribosomal RNA". It matches the Rfam family "Bacterial small subunit ribosomal RNA", at positions 524 to 776 of the family's 1533-position model. The record is from RNAcentral.
UACGUAGGGGGCAAGCGUUAUCCGGAAUUACUGGGUGUAAAGGGUGCGUAGGCAGCACGCCAAGUCAGUUGUGAAACCCGUAGGCUCAACCUACGGCUUGCAAUUGAAACUGGCGAGCUAGAGUACAGGAGAGGAAAGCGGAAUUCCUAGUGUAGCGGUGAAAUGCGUAGAUAUUAGGAAGAACACCGGUGGCGAAGGCGGCUUUCUGGACUGAAACUGACGCUGAGGCACGAAAGCGUGGGGAGCAAACAGG